UGCGAAUGGCUCAUUAAAUCAGUUAUCGUUUAUUUGAUAGUACCUUACUACUUGGAUAACCGUGGUAAUUCUAGAGCUAAUACAUGCUAAAAACCCCAACUUCGGGAGGGGUGUAUUUAUUAGAUAAAAAACCAAUGCCCUUCGGGGCUCCUUGGUGAUUCAUAAUAACUUCUCAGAUCGCAUGGCCUUGCGCCGGCGACGGUUCAUUCAAAUUUCUGCCCUAUCAACUUUCGAUGGUAAGGUAUUGGCUUACCAUGGUUUCAACGGGUAACGGGGAAUUAGGGUUCGAUUCCGGAGAGGGAGCCUGAGAAACGGCUACCACAUCCAAGGAAGGCAGCAGGCGCGCAAAUUACCCAAUCCCGACACGGGGAGGUAGUGACAAUAAAUACUGAUACAGGGCUCUUUAGGGUCUUGUAAUUGGAAUGAGUACAAUUUAAACCUCUUAACGAGGAACAAUUGGAGGGCAAGUCUGGUGCCAGCAGCCGCGGUAAUUCCAGCUCCAAUAGCGUAUAUUAAAGUUGUUGCAGUUAAAAAGCUCGUAGUUGAACCUUUGGCCUGGCUGGCGGGUCCGCCUCACCGCGUGCACUCGUCCGGCCGGGCCUUUUCUUCUGGAGAACCGCAUGCCCUUCACUGGGUGUGUUGGGGACCAGGACUUUUACUUUGAAAAAAUUAGAGUGUUCAAAGCAGGCCUUUGCUCGAAUACGUUAGCAUGGAAUAAUAGAAUAGGACGUGCGGUCCUAUUUUGUUGGUUUCUAGGACCGCCGUAAUGAUUAAUAGGGACAGUCGGGGGCAUCAGUAUUCAAUUGUCAGAGGUGAAAUUCUUGGAUUUAUUGAAGACUAACUACUGCGAAAGCAUUUGCCAAGGAUGUUUUCAUUAAUCAGUGAACGAAAGUUAGGGGAUCGAAGACGAUCAGAUACCGUCGUAGUCUUAACCAUAAACUAUGCCGACUAGGGAUCGGGCGGUGUUACUAUUUUGACCCGCUCGGCACCUU
Molecule: ribosomal RNA, 992 nt
Filed under: Periconia byssoides
Lineage: Eukaryota; Fungi; Ascomycota; Dothideomycetes; Pleosporales; Periconiaceae
Also listed under: 1 other name
Description: SSU rRNA
Rfam family: Eukaryotic small subunit ribosomal RNA
Source: RNAcentral